GACGAACGCUGGCGGCGUGCCUAAUACAUGCAAGUCGAACGCAUUUUCUUUCACCGUAGCUUGCUACACCGAAAGAAAAUGAGUGGCGAACGGGUGAGUAACACGUGGGUAACCUGCCCAUCAGCGGGGGAUAACACUUGGAAACAGGUGCUAAUACCGCAUAAUUCCAUUUACCGCAUGGUAGAUGGAUGAAAGGCGCUUUUGCGUCACUGAUGGAUGGACCCGCGGUGCAUUAGCUAGUUGGUGGGGUAACGGCCUACCAAGGCUGCGAUGCAUAGCCGACCUGAGAGGGUGAUCGGCCACACUGGGACUGAGACACGGCCCAGACUCCUACGGGAGGCAGCAGUAGGGAAUCUUCGGCAAUGGACACAAGUCUGACCGAGCAACGCCGCGUGAGUGAAGAAGGUUUUCGGAUCGUAAAACUCUGUUGUUAGAGAAGAACAAGGAUGAGAGUGGAAAGUUCAUCCCUUGACGGUAUCUAACCAGAAAGCCACGGCUAACUACGG
Molecule: ribosomal RNA, 506 nt
Filed under: uncultured bacterium
Lineage: Bacteria
Description: partial 16S ribosomal RNA
Rfam family: Bacterial small subunit ribosomal RNA
Source: RNAcentral